This 2351-nucleotide ribosomal RNA is filed under the name Listeria monocytogenes. RNAcentral's name for it is "partial 23S ribosomal RNA". It matches the Rfam family "Bacterial large subunit ribosomal RNA", at positions 1 to 2342 of the family's 2925-position model. Lineage: Bacteria; Bacillati; Bacillota; Bacilli; Caryophanales; Listeriaceae. The record is from RNAcentral.
UUGGUUAAGUUAGAAAGGGCGCACGGUGGAUGCCUUGGCACUAGGAGCCGAAGAAGGACGGGACUAACACCGAUAUGCUUUGGGGAGCUGUACGUAAGCGUUGAUCCAGAGAUUUCCGAAUGGGGGAACCCACUAUCUUUAGUCGGAUAGUAUCCUUACGUGAAUACAUAGCGUAAGGAAGGCAGACCCAGGGAACUGAAACAUCUAAGUACCUGGAGGAAGAGAAAGAAAAAUCGAUUUCCUGAGUAGCGGCGAGCGAAACGGAAAGAGCCCAAACCAAGAAGCUUGCUUCUUGGGGUUGUAGGACACUCUAUACGGAGUUACAAAAGAAAGUUAUAAAUGAAGCGGUCUGGAAAGGCCCGCCAAAGACGGUAACAGCCCGGUAGUUGAAAUGGCUUUCCCUCCAGAGUGGAUCCUGAGUACGGCGGAACACGUGAAAUUCCGUCGGAAUCCGGGAGGACCAUCUCCCAAGGCUAAAUACUCCCUAGUGACCGAUAGUGAACCAGUACCGUGAGGGAAAGGUGAAAAGCACCCCGGAAGGGGAGUGAAACAGUUCCUGAAACCGUGUGCCUACAAGUAGUUAGAGCCCGUUAAUGGGUGAUAGCGUGCCUUUUGUAGAAUGAACCGGCGAGUUACGAUUUGUUGCAAGGUUAAGCGGAAAAAGCGGAGCCGUAGCGAAAGCGAGUCUGAAUAGGGCGCAUAAGUAACAGGUCGUAGACCCGAAACCAGGUGAUCUACCCAUGUCCAGGAUGAAGGUAAGGUAAUACUUACUGGAGGUCCGAACCCACGCACGUUGAAAAGUGCGGGGAUGAGGUGUGGGUAGCGGAGAAAUUCCAAUCGAACUUGGAGAUAGCUGGUUCUCUCCGAAAUAGCUUUAGGGCUAGCCUCGAGGUAAAGAGUCAUGGAGGUAGAGCACUGUUUGGACUAGGGGCCCUUCUCGGGUUACCGAAUUCAGAUAAACUCCGAAUGCCAUGUACUUAUACUCGGGAGUCAGACUGCGAGUGAUAAGAUCCGUAGUCGAAAGGGAAACAGCCCAGACCACCAGUUAAGGUCCCCAAAUAUAUGUUAAGUGGAAAAGGAUGUGGGGUUGCUUAGACAACCAGGAUGUUGGCUUAGAAGCAGCCACCAUUGAAAGAGUGCGUAAUAGCUCACUGGUCGAGUGACCCCGCGCCGAAAAUGUACCGGGGCUAAACAUAUUACCGAAACUGUGGAUGAACCUCUUCGGAGGUUCGUGGUAGGAGAGCGUUCUAAGGGCGGUGAAGUCAGACCGGAAGGACUGGUGGAGCGCUUAGAAGUGAGAAUGCCGGUAUGAGUAGCGAAAGAAGGGUGAGAAUCCCUUCCACCGAAUAUCUAAGGUUUCCUGAGGAAGGCUCGUCCGCUCAGGGUUAGUCGGGACCUAAGCCGAGGCCGAUAGGCGUAGGCGAUGGACAACAGGUAGAGAUUCCUGUACCAGUGCUAAUUGUUUAACCGAUGGGGUGACACAGAAGGAUAGGGAAUCGCACGAAUGGAAAUGUGCGUCCAAGCAGUGAGUGUGAGAAGUAGGCAAAUCCGCUUCUCGCGAAGCAUGAGCUGUGAUGGGGAAGGAAAUUAAGUACGGAAGUUCCUGAUUUCACGCUGUCAAGAAAAGCCUCUAGGAAGAGUAGUACUGCCCGUACCGCAAACCGACACAGGUAGAUGAGGAGAGAAUCCUAAGGUGAGCGAGAGAACUCUCGUUAAGGAACUCGGCAAAAUGACCCCGUAACUUCGGGAGAAGGGGUGCUCUAUUAGGGUGCAAGCCCGAGAGAGCCGCAGUGAAUAGGCCCAGGCGACUGUUUAGCAAAAACACAGGUCUCUGCAAAACCGUAAGGUGACGUAUAGGGGCUGACGCCUGCCCGGUGCUGGAAGGUUAAGAGGAGUGCUUAGCUUCGGCGAAGGUACGAAUUGAAGCCCCAGUAAACGGCGGCCGUAACUAUAACGGUCCUAAGGUAGCGAAAUUCCUUGUCGGGUAAGUUCCGACCCGCACGAAAGGCGCAACGAUCUGGGCACUGUCUCAACGAGAGACUCGGUGAAAUUAUAGUACCUGUGAAGAUGCAGGUUACCCGCGACAGGACGGAAAGACCCCGUGGAGCUUUACUGCAACCUGAUAUGGAAUGUUUGUACCGCUUGUACAGGAUAGGUAGGAGCCGAAGAGACGUGUGCGCUAGCAUACGAGGAGGCAAUGGUGGGAUACUACCCUGGCUGUAUGACCAUUCUAACCCGCCACGCUUAGCGCGUGGGGAGACAGUGUCAGGUGGGCAGUUUGACUGGGGCGGUCGCCUCCUAAAGAGUAACGGAGGCGCCCAAAGGUUCCCUCAGAAUGGAUGGAAAUCAUU